CCUACGGGAGGCAGCAGUGGGGAAUAUUGGGCAAUGGGCGCAAGCCUGACCCAGCAACGCCGCGUGAAGGAAGAAGGCUUUCGGGUUGUAAACUUCUUUUCUCAGGGACGAAGCAAGUGCCGGUACCUGAGGAAUAAGCCACGGCUAACUACGUGCCAGCAGCCGCGGUAAUACGUAGGUGGCAAGCGUUAUCCGGAUUUACUGGGUGUAUAGGGCGUGUAGGCGGGACUGCAAGGCAGAUGUGAAAACCACGGGCUCAACCUGUGGCCUGCAUUUGAGACUGUAGUUCUUGAGUACAGGAGAGGCAGACGGAAUUCGUAGUGUAGCGGUGAAAUGCGUAGAUAUUAGGAAGAACACCAGUGGCGAAGGCAGUCUGCUGGACAGAAACUGACGCUGAGGCGCGAAAGCGUGGGGAGCAAACAGGAUUAGAUACCCUUGUAGUC
Molecule: ribosomal RNA, 443 nt
Filed under: uncultured bacterium
Lineage: Bacteria
Description: partial 16S ribosomal RNA
Rfam family: Bacterial small subunit ribosomal RNA
Source: RNAcentral